Molecule: transfer RNA, 76 nt
Filed under: SAR202 cluster bacterium AD-804-J14_MRT_500m
Lineage: Bacteria; Bacillati; Chloroflexota; Dehalococcoidia
Description: tRNA-His
Rfam family: tRNA
About the family: Transfer RNA (tRNA) molecules are approximately 80 nucleotides in length.
Source: RNAcentral
GUGAGCGUGGCCAAGUGGUUAAGGCGCCAGGUUGUGGCCCUGGAGAUCGUGGGUUCGACUCCCAUCGCUCACCCCA